ACCAUCCUAAAGGACAGUCUUCUGAUGGUAGGUAGGUAGGUAACCAUCCUAAAGGACAGUUUUCUGAUGGUAGGUAGGUAGGUAACCAUCCUAAAGGGCAGCCUUCUGAUGGUAGGUAGGUAGGUAGCCAUCCUAAAGGACAGCCUUCUGAUGGUAGGUAGGUAGGUAGCCAUCCUAAAGGACAGCCUUCUGAUGGUAGGUAGGUAACCAUCCUAAAGGACAGCCUUCUGAUGGUAGGUAGGUAGGUACCCAUCCUAAAUGACAGCCUUCUGAUGGUAGUUAGGUAACCAUCCUAAAGGACAGCCUUCUGAUGGUAGGUAGGUAGCCAUCCUAAAGGACAGUCUUCUGAUGGUAGGUAG
Oncorhynchus tshawytscha (Chinook salmon) is the source of this 359-nucleotide long non-coding RNA. The record is from Ensembl. Lineage: Eukaryota; Metazoa; Chordata; Actinopteri; Salmoniformes; Salmonidae.